This 1075-nucleotide long non-coding RNA is filed under the name Triticum aestivum (bread wheat). RNAcentral describes it as "long non-coding RNA (TAES_LNC006382)". The record is from RNAcentral. Lineage: Eukaryota; Viridiplantae; Streptophyta; Magnoliopsida; Poales; Poaceae.
CCAAUCCGCUAGCUGUCAGUCACCAGGCUCUUCAUCGACCACGGUAUGACCCCAUGAACUACCAACAUAGAUAACCAAUCUAACUUCCAAGAUAACAUGUCUACGUGCUAUUAGUUAGUCUUCUCUAUAAUAUGCAUGCGUGUCUUCUUUAAGGUUUUUGUUUUCUCGAAAUUUGGUCGUUCUAGGACAGGUUUGAUCCUCUGUUAACCAUUUAACAUAUACGAGCAAAGCUUAUCUUAGUUUUUUCGAAGAACAAAAUUACUUUACUUAAUUACUUGGUUGAAUACCAACAACAUGUGCAGAUAUGUUUGAGCAGACUCAUGUACGUGUGUUCCUGGUCUGCAGGUGAAAGGUUUGAGUCAUUUCCUGCUUCUAGGAAAUAUUGCUUUCUAGAAGUGUAUCGCGUAAUCUAAGCAAAUACAAGUAUCCAUAACCUGGCAUGUACAAGGCAUUGAAUCCAAAUGAAUAUGUUAUAUGCUGACAUAUUGUAGUUUAGGAUGUAACGGUUUGGCAUAGGACUUUCUCAGUUUUGGUUUUAUGUUGUUGUGUUAACGGGUUUUGCACAAACAUAAUGGCUUAGCUCUGAAUUUGGGUCCUCGGGAUCAAAAUAUUACUGUUAUAAACAGUCUAAUCAUUUUCCUUCUACGAGUAAGGUUCUUUGGUUAUCAUCAGUAGAAGUGGAGUUGGAUUCGUUGAUAGAUGUUAAAUGCUGGUCAAGGAUUGUUCUCUCUCAAUGAUGGUUGAUUGAUCUUGCGGUGGCCGUUCUAUCGUGCUUCACAUGGAUGCAUCUUACAAGUUUUGCCGCCUCACUCUGUAGCCUUCAAGUUGCGGUUGUAUGAAGGAUGAACAUGUAUCUCAUUUUUGGAAGGCAAACAUGUCUCAUUUCCUUGCUUUGUGUCACAUUGCAGUAAUAAUUUAAUUAUUGGAAAAAAUAAUAUGUGUUCAUCUCUGACAUCAAGCAAAAACUUUCUUGAAAUCCUUUGAAGGCUACAUGAAAUAGCUUCAGAGUGGUCAUAAUAAACAUGUACCUAUUUGGAGAUCUUAUAUUAAGAAGUAGUCCUACUCGAUAUAUUCA